GAACUGAAGAGUUUGAUCAUGGCUCAGAUUGAACGCUGGCGGCAGGCCUAACACAUGCAAGUCGAGCGGAUGAAGGGGGCUUGCUCCUGGAUUCAGCGGCGGACGGGUGAGUAAUGCCUAGGAAUCUGCCUGGUAGUGGGGGAUAACGUCCGGAAACGGGCGCUAAUACCGCAUACGUCCUGAGGGAGAAAGUGGGGGAUCUUCGGACCUCACGCUAUCAGAUGAGCCUAGGUCGGAUUAGCUAGUUGGUGGGGUAAAGGCCUACCAAGGCGACGAUCCGUAACUGGUC
Molecule: ribosomal RNA, 289 nt
Filed under: Pseudomonas aeruginosa
Lineage: Bacteria; Pseudomonadati; Pseudomonadota; Gammaproteobacteria; Pseudomonadales; Pseudomonadaceae
Description: partial 16S ribosomal RNA
Rfam family: Bacterial small subunit ribosomal RNA
Source: RNAcentral